GACGAACGCUGGCGGCGUGCUUAACACAUGCAAGUCGAGCGGAGCGGCGAACGGGUGAGUAACGCGUGAGUAACUGCCCCCCUCUCUGGGAUAACAGUUGGAAACGGCUGCUAAUACCGGAUAGUGGGGGGUGACUCGCGUCAUAGCAGCUUGUUGGUGGUGUAGUCGCCUACCAAGGCGACGACGGGUAGCCGGCCUGAGAGGGGGACCGGCCACAUUGUGCAGGGAAACGGCCAAAGCUCAUACGGGAGGAAGCAGUGGGGAAUAGUGGACAAUGGGGGAAAUCCUGGUGCAGCACCGCCGCGUGCGGGAUGACGGCCUUCGGGUUGUAAACCGCUUUCAGCCAUGACGCGGUAGUGGCAGAAGAAGCACCGGCUAACUACGUGCCAGCAGCCGCGGUAUUC
Molecule: ribosomal RNA, 404 nt
Filed under: uncultured bacterium
Lineage: Bacteria
Description: partial 16S ribosomal RNA
Rfam family: Bacterial small subunit ribosomal RNA
Source: RNAcentral